This 450-nucleotide ribosomal RNA is filed under the name uncultured Glomus. RNAcentral describes it as "SSU rRNA". It matches the Rfam family "Eukaryotic small subunit ribosomal RNA", at positions 569 to 1024 of the family's 1831-position model. The record is from RNAcentral. Lineage: Eukaryota; Fungi; Glomeromycota; Glomeromycetes; Glomerales; Glomeraceae. RNAcentral also lists the same sequence under 1 other name.
AGCAGCCGCGGUAAUUCCAGCUCCAAUAGCGUAUAUUAAAGUUGUUGCAGUUAAAAAGCUCGUAGUUGAAUUUCGGGAUCAAUAUAUCGGUCGUGCCUCCGGUAUGCACUGGUAUUAUUGAUUUCUACCUUCUGACGAACUGUGAUGUCAUUAAUUUGGUGUCAUGGGGAAUCAGGACUGUUACUUUGAAAAAUUAGAGUGUUUAAAGCAGGCACACGCUUGAAUACAUUAGCAUGGAAUAAUGAAAUAGGACGUUUGACCCUAUUUUGUUGGUUUCUAGGAUCGACGUAAUGAUUAAUAGGGAUAGUUGGGGGCAUUAGUAUUCAAUUGUCAGAGGUGAAAUUCUUGGAUUUAUUGAAGACUAACUACUGCGAAAGCAUUUGCCAAGGAUGUUUUCAUUAAUCAAGAACGAAAGUUAGGGGAUCGAAGACGAUCAGAUACCGUCGUAGU